UUGACCUCGGAUCAGGUAGGAAUACCCGCUGAACUUAAGCAUAUCAAUAAAGCGGAGGAAUUACCCUCCAACCCUGAU
RNAcentral lists this ribosomal RNA (78 nucleotides) under Fusarium asiaticum. RNAcentral describes it as "partial 28S ribosomal RNA". The record is from RNAcentral. Lineage: Eukaryota; Fungi; Ascomycota; Sordariomycetes; Hypocreales; Nectriaceae.